This 671-nucleotide ribosomal RNA is filed under the name Ectopseudomonas oleovorans. RNAcentral describes it as "partial 16S ribosomal RNA". It matches the Rfam family "Bacterial small subunit ribosomal RNA", at positions 48 to 715 of the family's 1533-position model. Lineage: Bacteria; Pseudomonadati; Pseudomonadota; Gammaproteobacteria; Pseudomonadales; Pseudomonadaceae. The record is from RNAcentral.
GCUACACAUGCAGUCGAGCGGAUGAGUGGAGCUUGCUCCAUGAUUCAGCGGCGGACGGGUGAGUAAUGCCUAGGAAUCUGCCCGAUAGUGGGGGAUAACGUUCCGAAAGGAACGCUAAUACCGCAUACGUCCUACGGGAGAAAGCAGGGGACCUUCGGGCCUUGCGCUAUCGGAUGAGCCUAGGUCGGAUUAGCUAGUUGGUGAGGUAAUGGCUCACCAAGGCGACGAUCCGUAACUGGUCUGAGAGGAUGAUCAGUCACACUGGAACUGAGACACGGUCCAGACUCCUACGGGAGGCAGCAGUGGGGAAUAUUGGACAAUGGGCGAAAGCCUGAUCCAGCCAUGCCGCGUGUGUGAAGAAGGUCUUCGGAUUGUAAAGCACUUUAAGUUGGGAGGAAGGGUUGUACGUUAAUACCGUGCAAUUUUGACGUUACCGACAGAAUAAGCACCGGCUAACUUCGUGCCAGCAGCCGCGGUAAUACGAAGGGUGCAAGCGUUAAUCGGAAUUACUGGGCGUAAAGCGCGCGUAGGUGGUUCGUUAAGUUGGAUGUGAAAGCCCCGGGCUCAACCUGGGAACUGCAUCCAAAACUGGCGAGCUAGAGUACGGUAGAGGGUGGUGGAAUUUCCUGUGUAGCGGUGAAAUGCGUAGAUAUAGGAAGGAACACCAGUGG